AACGAACGCUGGCGGCAUGCCUAACACAUGCAAGUCGAACGAGACCUUCGGGUCUAGUGGCGCACGGGUGCGUAACGCGUGGGAACCUGCCCUUAGGUUCGGAAUAACUCCCCGAAAGGGGUGCUAAUACCGGAUAAUGUCUUCGGACCAAAGAUUUAUCGCCUUUGGAUGGGCCCGCGUUGGAUUAGCUAGUUGGUAGGGUAAAAGCCUACCAAGGCGACGAUCCAUAGCUGGUCUGAGAGGAUGAUCAGCCACACUGGGACUGAGACCCGGCCCAGACUCCUACGGGAGGCAGCAGUGGGGAAUAUUGGACACUGGGCGAAAGCCUGAUCCAGCAAUGCCGCGUGAGUGAUGAAGGCCUUAGGGUUGUAAAGCUCUUUUACCCGGGAUGAUAAUGACAGUACCGGGAGAAUAAGCUCCGGCUAACUCCGUG
This 433-nucleotide ribosomal RNA is filed under the name uncultured bacterium. RNAcentral describes it as "partial 16S ribosomal RNA". It matches the Rfam family "Bacterial small subunit ribosomal RNA", at positions 29 to 507 of the family's 1533-position model. The record is from RNAcentral.